UAGUUUCGUACAAUAGACCCGAAGCCCGACGAUCUAUCCAUGUCCAGGUUGAAGCCCCGGUGAAGCGGGGUGGAGGACCGAACCGAAGCCUGUUGAAAAAGUCUCGGAUGAGGUGUGGAUAGGAGUGAAAAGCUAAUCGAGUUGGGUGAUAGCUGGUUCUCCCCGAAAUGCAUUUAGGUGCAGCCCCGAAUGUUUAGUGUUGGGGGUAGAGCGCUGACUGGACGCGGGCGGAUGUGACCGUACCAAAUCCAAUCAAACUGCGAAUACCAACACUUAAGAGUUCGGGAGUGAGACUGCGGGAGAGAAGUUUCGUAGUCGAGAGGGAAAGAGCCCAGACCCACAGCUAAGGUCCCAAAGCCAUGCUGAGUGUGGCAAGGAUGUGACGAUGCCCGGACAGCCAGGAGGUUGGCUUAGAAGCAGCCACCCUUUAAAGAGUGCGUAAUAGCUCACUGGUCGAGGAUUGUUGCGCCGAAAAUACCGGGGGCUAAGCAUGGCACCGAAGCUUGGGGAUUGGAAAGUAAAAUUCCGAAUCGGUAGGGGAGCGUUCCAUGUGGGGAGAAGUCGAACCGGCAAGGUUUGGUGGACUGCAUGGAAGAGAGAAUGCCGGCAUGAGUAACGCGAAGUGUGUGAGAAUCACACUCACCGGAAGUCCAAGGAUUCCUGGGGAAGGUUGAUCCGCCCAGGGUAAGGCGGGGCCUAAGGUCAGGCCGAAAGGCGUAGCUGAUGGACAACAGGUUGCUAAUCCUGUCCCGCUAUGGAGUCGUUUGACGAUGGAGUGACGCAGGAAGCUAGGUGCGCCGGCAGAUGGAAGCCGGUCUAAGGGCGAAGCCUGGGUUGGGAGGCAAAUCCCCCGAUCUAAAGGUGAGACCUGAUGGGGAGCGUUCAGCGAUGAACGCGAAGGCAUUGACGCUCAACUGCCGGGAAAAGCUUCUAAGGAGACGCCAUAGCGCCCGUACCCGAAACCGACACAGGUGGACUGGCUGAGAAGGCUAAGGUGAGCGGGAGAACUAUCGUUAAGGAACUCUGCAAGUUGACCCCGUAACCUAGGGAGAAGGGGUGCCACAGAGGUGAAGAUGGACAAUCGGAGCCGGAUGUGGUCGCAGAAACCAGGCACAGGCGACUGUUUACUAAAAACACAGGACUCUGCAUAAGGCGCAAGCCGAAGUAUAGGGUCUGACACCUGCCCGGUGCUGGAAGGUUAAAUGGAGGGGUUAGUCGCAAGGCGAAGCUCUGAAAUGAAGCCCCAGUAAACGGCGGCCGUAACUAUAACGGUCCUAAGGUAGCGAAAUUCCUUGUCGGGUAAGUUCCGACCUGCACGAAAGGUGUAACGAUCUGUGCGCUGUCUCGACGGUAGACCCGGUGAAAUUGUGGUCCUGGUAAAGACGCCAGGUACCCGUGGUGGGACGGAAAGACCCCAUGGAGCUUUACUGUAACUUGGUAUUGGAUUUUGUCCUAUGAUGCACAGGAUAGGUGGGAGGCUUUGAGGUAAGGAUCUUGGUUCUUACGGAGCCGUCGUUGGGAUACCACCCUUUGUAUGAUGAAAUUCUAACCCUUGAGCGUUGAAACACGCGAGGGGACAUUGCCAGGCGGGCAGUUUGACUGGGGCGGUCGCCUCCCAAAGAGUAACGGAGGCGCGCAAAGGUCACCUCGGGGCGAAUGGAAAUCGCCCAUAGAGAGCGUAAGCGUAUAAGGUGGCUUGACUGAGAGACUGACGGGUCGAUCAGGAACGAAAGUUGGUGCUAGUGAUCCGGUGGUUCCGAAUGGAAGGGCCAUCGCUCAACGGAUAAAAGCUACCCUGGGGAUAACAGGCUGAUCUCGCCCGAGAGUUCCUAUCGACGGCGUGGUUUGGCACCUCGAUGUCGGCUCAUCGCAUCCUGGGGCUGAAGCAGGUCCCAAGGGUUGGUCUGUUCGCCCAUUAAAGCGGUACGUGAGCUGGGUUUAGAACGUCGUGAGACAGUUCGGUCCCUAUCCACCAUGGGCGUAAGGUAUUUGAGGAGAUCUGUUCCUAGUACGAGAGGACCGGAAUGGACGAACCGCUAGUGUAUCGGUUGUGGCGCCAGCUGCAUAAGCCGGGUAGCUAUGUUCGGCCGGGAUAACCGCUGAAAGCAUCUAAGUGGGAAGCCCCCUCCAAGAUGAGAUACCUCGCUCCUUUGAGGAGAUAAGAUGCCCGCGAGACGAGCGGAUUGAUAGGCCGGGAGUGUAAGCGCUGAGAGGUGUUGAGCUGACCGGUACUAAAGCAUCGAA
This 2244-nucleotide ribosomal RNA is filed under the name Fretibacterium sp. OH1220_COT-178. Its description in RNAcentral is "partial 23S ribosomal RNA". It matches the Rfam family "Bacterial large subunit ribosomal RNA", at positions 697 to 2913 of the family's 2925-position model. The record is from RNAcentral. Lineage: Bacteria; Thermotogati; Synergistota; Synergistia; Synergistales; Aminobacteriaceae.